Molecule: long non-coding RNA, 1435 nt
Filed under: Marmota monax (woodchuck)
Lineage: Eukaryota; Metazoa; Chordata; Mammalia; Rodentia; Sciuridae
Source: RNAcentral
CACCUCUGGUUUAGGCCCUGAGGUGCCUACGUGCUGAGCUGCACAGGGUCCAGGUUGUUAAACAACUAAGUGGUCAGGGGGGGAUUUCGACACAUAUCUAAUGGGCAGUUCCGGGAAUUGUCUUAACUGCCACAGGAAUUUCAGGCCUUGAGUGUAGCUUAGAAACUUUACAAUACCUGGUCCUUUACAUUUUAACUUCAGUUUCUUUUAUCCUUUCAAUACCACCGUCUGGCACAUUCAGAGGAGAAAUGAGUGAGUGGUCAUAAUUAUUUUCUCAAUUGACAUAAUUCUUUUCUCAAUUGACAAAUAAAAAUUGUGUAUACUUAUAAUGUACAGUGUGUUGUUUUAAAAUAUAUAUUAUUGUGGAAUUGCCAAAUUGAAUGCCUUCUUUCCUACUUAUUGGAUAAUCAUAACUCUUAAUCUAUGCCCAGAUAUAAACCCUGAGGGUAACCAGCCUCCUCUCCUCCGGGACCCCACAUCGAUCCAGGUUCCAUCUCCCCUCUCCUGAGCACCUCAGCUGCCUUCCCUCCCAAACAAUUCUGCCUCACCCUCUGGAAUCCUUGACACAGGAAAAACAGAUUUUCCUCAUCACCACUGAGUAUUCCUCCACCUCCUCGCCUGAACUGAACUCUGGCUGUCACCCAAGGACACAGCUUCCCUGAAGCCACUACAGGGAAGGCAACUCCUUCUCCCAUAUCCUCUGCAGCUUGGGGGUCAGGAAGAGGGGUCAGCUUUCCUCGUGCUUUUGUUUCACUCUUUAUAAAAUACUAAAACAAAACAAAAACCUGCUUUCUACUGUGCAUAGCAUCUGAUUAUGAAGCAACCUUCUCCCCUUGGUUGCCAUCCUGAAUCUGCGUCCUCAUUACCUACUUCAUGUUCAAAGAUCUGGGCACCCAGCUCUAGGAAGCUCACAGGGUGACGUCUUCAACAACCUCAGGUCUCAGUGGUCUGCCUGACUCCUCUCCCAUCUGUGUGAGCUCCAUACUUUCUGUUGACUACACCUGGAGCCUUCUGUGCCUAAGAACUGCUAUGCCCCAAAGUUAUCCCCUCAGUGACCCUACUCUGAUCAUGACCUCAGGCCCUUCCAGCAUGUUCUCUGGUUAAUGUCCACUGUACCUAUUGCUCAGCCUCUUCAGGCUGUUCUACUUCCAGAUGCUUUCCUAAAAUUAGCUCUCCCAUCAUAGAUAAUUGAAAGAGUUGCAAAGCUCACAGAGCCUCAGCAUAAUAAUAUACAACAAAAAACUAUUGGAAAUGGCUAGAGUCUUGUGGUUCUAUCAAGCCCAUACCUUAUGAUUUAGUGACUGAAUUACAUUCAAAUUGAUGACAAUUAAAGGGAAAAAAUAGUAACCUCACAGUGGAGAAACCCAGCUGCAAUAAAUUGAAUGUUUACAUCUCCCCCAAAUUCACAAGUUGAAAUCCUGACCACAAAAGUGAG